RNAcentral lists this non-coding RNA (28 nucleotides) under Homo sapiens (human). Lineage: Eukaryota; Metazoa; Chordata; Mammalia; Primates; Hominidae. The record is from RNAcentral.
UGUGUUGACUGGUGAUGCUGCCAAGACC